GAGGAUCAAGAAUCGGAGUACUCGAAAUUCGAUUUCCAUUACAUUGAAAUAAAACCACCAAAGUUAUUGGCAUGGAAAGAGACAGAAAAGCAAAGCAGACGCAGCUGAAACCAGACAAAGUCCAAUUUGGACAAGCAAAAUCUCCAGGCAGCCCAAAUGGACCGCCUGUAUUUGAUACAUGCUUCUCAUUCCUCUGAAACUUGCACCAUUAGUUAGACAGUGCUCCACCCGAAAUAUUUUCUGUAACUGUAAUGGAAUACUUUCUCCGCCUAUACAUUCAGUUGAUGAAAAUAAAUAUAUUUGUAUUCAGUAAUAUUUUCAUGCUUACAACACCUACUCAUACACUCCUUGAUUAAAAAUUUUGGUUAUUUUAUAACAAGUCAAACUAAGACAAG
Theobroma cacao (cacao) is the source of this 395-nucleotide non-coding RNA. The record is from RefSeq and is a predicted model, not a curated record. Lineage: Eukaryota; Viridiplantae; Streptophyta; Magnoliopsida; Malvales; Malvaceae.